CAUGGCGGCCUCUGUUUCACCGCUACGCUCCUCCUUCAGGAUUUGUAGCCCGCUAACGUUACACCAUCACUGCUGCCGGGCCAAACUGCGGGUGCACAGAAAAUGCGACAGUCAGAGGAGACACCUUCAGCACUCUGCGAGCAGACACGCGGCUGUGGUGAUUUCGGGGACCGAGUUGGCUCGUCAGCUCCACAGAGAAAUCCAGCGUGAUGUUGAAGAACUGGUAGCUCAGGGCAACAUGAGACCCCACCUGGGAGUUGUCUUAGUGGGGGACGACCCAGCCAGUCGCACCUAUGUUAAGAACAAGACCCGGGCAGCCAGCAUCCUGGGUAUCUCCAGUGACACAGUGGUGCGGCCUAGCUCGGUCUCCCAGGAGGAGUUGCUGGAGCUGAUUGACAAGAUGAACCGUGACUGGAGGGUCAGCGGCCUGUUGGUGCAGCUGCCACUUCCUGAGCAUAUCAAUGAGCGAGCAGUAUGUAACGCCAUCGCUCCAGAGAAGGAUGUGGAUGGCUUCCACAUUGUGAACAUCGGUAAGCUGUGUCUGGACCAGAGAUCCAUGGUGCCUGCCACGCCUGCAGCUGUUUGGGAGAUCAUCAAAAGAGCAGGUAUUGAGACGGUGGGGAAGAAUGUGCUGGUUGCUGGCCGCUCUAAAAAUGUUGGAAUGCCCAUCGCUAUGUUGCUGCACACCGAUCGCAAGCAUGAACGCCCCGGGGGUGACGCCACAGUGACCAUUGCCCACAGAUGUACACCGAGGGAGCAGCUGAAGGAGCUAACCAGCCUGGCUGACAUCAUCAUUGCAGCUGCAGGUGUUCCCAGACUGAUCACAGCAGAUAUGGUGAAAGAGGGCGCAGCAGUCAUUGACGUCGGCAUAAACCGCAUCAAGGACCCAAACACGGGAAAACUGCGGCUCAUUGGUGACGUGGACUUUGAGGGAGUGAAAGAGAAGGCAGGUUUCAUCACACCUGUUCCCGGAGGCGUGGGUCCGAUGACAGUAGCCAUGCUGAUGAAGAACACUGUGACCGCUGCCAGAAAUGCACUGAUGCAUUAAACACACACACACACACACACACACACACUGCUUUUACUGAAUGACAUACAGUGGAUGCAUACGUACUGUACACACACACACACACACACACACACACACACACACACACACACAUACAUAUACAUCCGUAACUUUAUUUACACACACUUAUUUACACAAACAUCAAACACUUUUAUUUGAACAUCCAUGAGCUCAAGACUCCAUGCCUGCUGGGAAACUUACUUGACAUUUGUUUAUAUUUUGAAUUUGUUCAUUUAUUUAUUUGAAUUAUUUAUUCCAGAGUUCACUUUUUAAGAGUUUAGAUUAAUAUUUUUUCUACUGAAGUUGUUUUGGUUCAUUGCUGAACAGUCCAGAUUCACUGGAAAAAGAAUAUUAAAUGAAAAACAAUGCUGUGCCAGUACUACGAUCUCUCAGUCAUUCUUUUUUCUGAUUUUCAGAGGCCUUUUUGUGGUAAUUUGCUUUUAACGGACAGACAGGGAGAGGUAUAACAUGCACCAAAGAUCCUCAGCUGGAAUCAAACCCUGGACACUGUGGUUAUGAGAAACUGAGGCUUUCACAACACCUGUAAUCAUCAGUGAAGCGACCUGUCAAAACUGCAAGAGGCAUUUGAGUGAAACUACAAAUCAAACAACUGCGUGGGUUCACAGAACUUCCAAGGAAGAAGCCACAUUUAAG
This is an RNA transcript of Epinephelus fuscoguttatus (brown-marbled grouper), 1723 nucleotides long. It is a transcript of the gene named bifunctional methylenetetrahydrofolate dehydrogenase/cyclohydrolase 2, mitochondrial-like, with no coding region annotated. The record is from RefSeq and is a predicted model, not a curated record. Lineage: Eukaryota; Metazoa; Chordata; Actinopteri; Perciformes; Serranidae. The transcript is spliced from 9 exons.